AACGAACGCUGGCGGCAGGCCUAACACAUGCAAGUCGAGCGAGAUCUUCGGGUCUAGCGGCGGACGGGUGAGUAACGCGUGGGAAUAUGCCCCUUGGUACGGAAUAGCCUCGGGAAACUGGGAGUAAUACCGUAUGUGCCCUUUGGGGGAAAGAUUUAUCGCCAAGCGAUUAGCCGUCGUUGGAUUAGGUAGUUGGUGGGGUAAUGGCCUACCAAGCCGACGAUCCAUAGCUGGUUUGAGAGGAUGAUCAGCCACACUGGGACUGAGACACGGCCGAGACUCCUACGGGAGGCAGCAGUGGGGAAUCUUAGACAAUGGGGGCAACCCUGAUCUAGCCAUGCCGCGUGAGUGAUGAAGGCCUUAGGGUUGUAAAGCUCUUUCAGCUGGGAAGAUAAUGACGGUACCAGCAGAAGAAGCCACGGCUAACUACGUG
This 433-nucleotide ribosomal RNA is filed under the name uncultured bacterium. RNAcentral's name for it is "partial 16S ribosomal RNA". It matches the Rfam family "Bacterial small subunit ribosomal RNA", at positions 29 to 507 of the family's 1533-position model. The record is from RNAcentral.